UGGGGAAUUUUGGACAAUGGGCGAAAGCCUGAUCCAGCAAUGCCGCGUGUGUGAAGAAGGCCUUCGGGUUGUAAAGCACUUUUGUCCGGAAAGAAAUCCUUGGCUCUAAUACAGUCGGGGGAUGACGGUACCGGAAGAAUAAGCACCGGCUAACUACGUGCCAGCAGCCGCGGUAAUACGUAGGGUGCAAGCGUUAAUCGGAAUUACUGGGCGUAAAGCGUGCGCAGGCGGUUUGCUAAGACCGAUGUGAAAUCCCCGGGCUCAACCUGGGAACUGCAUUGGUGACUGGCAGGCUAGAGUAUGGCAGAGGGGGGUAGAAUUCCACGUGUAGCAGUGAAAUGCGUAGAGAUGUGGAGGAAUACCGAUGGCGAAGGCAGCCCCCUGGGUCCAAUACUGAC
RNAcentral lists this ribosomal RNA (398 nucleotides) under uncultured bacterium. RNAcentral's name for it is "partial 16S ribosomal RNA". It matches the Rfam family "Bacterial small subunit ribosomal RNA", at positions 355 to 744 of the family's 1533-position model. The record is from RNAcentral.